AGAGUUUGAUCAUGGCUCAGAAUGAACGCUGGCGGCGUGCUUAACACAUGCAAGUCGAACGGUAACAGGUCUUUCGGGAUGCUGACGAGUGGCGCACGGGUGAGUAAUAUAUAGGUAAUGUGCCCCUUAGUCCGGGAUAGCCACUGGAAACGGUGAUUAAUACCGGAUAUUCCUUCCGAUCGAAAGGUCAGUCGGGAAAGGUUUUUCGCUAAGGGAUCAGCCUAUAUCGCAUCAGUUAGUUGGUGAGGUAACGGCUCACCAAGACAAUGACGCGUAGCGGGUUUGAGAGGAUGAUCCGCCACACUGGUACUGAGACACGGACCAGACUCCUACGGGAGGCAGCAGUGAGGAAUAUUGCACAAUGGGGGAAACCCUGAUGCAGCAACGCCGCGUGGAGGAUGACGCAUUUCGGUGUGUAAACUCCUUUUAUCAGAGAAGAACAUGACGG
RNAcentral lists this ribosomal RNA (448 nucleotides) under uncultured Campylobacterota bacterium. RNAcentral's name for it is "bacterial SSU rRNA". It matches the Rfam family "Bacterial small subunit ribosomal RNA", at positions 8 to 457 of the family's 1533-position model. Lineage: Bacteria; Pseudomonadati; Campylobacterota. The record is from RNAcentral.